CAACACCCCUUUCAACAUCCAAAAAUACAAGGAUGCCAUAGGGAAGGCCUAUCAAAGAGUAACUCUCUACAUUUGCAACCAUGAUGACUUCUUAAAUAAUGAUUGCAACACAGAGUGUGAAUCUGAAGAGGACAAUGAAGUUCAAGUAAAAGCAGUAGAAAGCCCACUGUCGGACACUGUGGUAUGGGAUUUUCCAGAUAAUCACAGCACCCCGGAAAGAGCACCUUCAAGAAAUAGGUAAGUUUUGUAUUGUGGAGGAUACACUGCGGCGACCGUGAAUAGUGAGGAGCCAAAAUACAUUAUUAUGUAUUAUAUUGUAAAUUCUGAAAUUAUUUAAAUUCUUUACAGGGGGUCAAACUUGCAAACUUCUUCUGAAGUAAGACUCUGAAAAAUGUCAUUAAUAAUUGUCAUACAGGCUACAAACAUAAAAUAUAUUAACUGUUCAUAUAUUUUUGAUAUUUAGACUCAAGGUCCCUGCUACAGGUAUGUUUUGGACACAGAAAUUUGUGUAUUGAGACACUAGACCAAUAAAAUCGUAGUUAACUUUAGAUUUUAAGAAAUGUUCUACUUUGCCCACUAAAUGUUUUUUAUUGCAGCACAUACACAAGUGUUUAUGCACCGA
This is a long non-coding RNA of Haplochromis burtoni (Burton's mouthbrooder), 622 nucleotides long. RefSeq lists it as uncharacterized. The record is from RefSeq and is a predicted model, not a curated record. Lineage: Eukaryota; Metazoa; Chordata; Actinopteri; Cichliformes; Cichlidae. The transcript is spliced from 3 exons.